This 34-nucleotide small RNA is filed under the name Bombyx mori (domestic silkworm). RNAcentral's name for it is "ovarian small RNA-14053". Lineage: Eukaryota; Metazoa; Arthropoda; Insecta; Lepidoptera; Bombycidae. The record is from RNAcentral.
CCUGAAAUUUCGGAAUUGGGAAUUGUGAAACGGC